GACGAACGCUGGCGGCGCGCUUAACACAUGCAAGUCGAGGGUAUUUCGGUACACUGGCGCACGGGUGAGUAACGCGUAGGCAAUCUACCUAUAUCACUGACAUAACUAUUGGAAACGGUAGCUAAUAUCAGAUGAGGACGCGAGUUCAAAGUUUUCGGACGGAUAUAGCUGAGCCUGCGUAAGAUUAGCUAGUUGGUAAGGUAACGGCUUACCAAGGCUACGAUCUUUAGCUGGUCUGAGAGGACGAACAGCCACACUGGAACUGAGACACGGUCCAGACUCCUACGGGAGGCAGCAGUGAGGAAUUUUGGACAAUGGGGGCAACCCUGAUCCAGCGACGCCGCGUGUUGGAAGACGGGGUUUAUCCCUGUAAACAACUGUCAGAUGGGAGAAAAAGCUUCUUAUAGGGGCUGGGCUAGUACCAUCAGAGGAAGGGUCGGCUAACUACGUGCCAGCAGCCGCGGUAAUACGUAGGACCCAAGCGUUGUCCGGAAUUACUGGGUAUAAAGGGUGCGUAGGCUGGUCGGAACGUCAGAGGUUAAAGACUGCAGCUUAACUGCAGGGUUGCCUUUGAAACGGCUGAUCUUGAAUAUGAGAGAGGAUGAUAGAAUUCCUGGUGUAGCGGUGAAAUGCGUAGAUAUCAGGAGGAAUACCAGUGGCGAAGGCGGUCAUCUGGCUCAUAAUUGACGUUGAGGCACGAAAGCGUGGGUAGCGAACAGGAUUAGAUACCCUGGUAGUCCACGCCCUAAACGAUGUAUGCUUGGUGUUGGUAAUUAAUUAUCAGUGCCGAAGGAAAUCUAUUAAGCAUACCACCUGGGGAGUACGAUCGCAAGUUUGAAACUCAAAGGAAUUGACGGGGGCCCGCACAAGCGGUGGAUUAUGUGGUUUAAUUCGAUGCAACGCGAAGAACCUUACCAGGGCUUGAAUUGUAAAGGAAUGAUAUAGAAAUAUGUCAGUCUUCGGAUCUUUAUAUAGGUGCUGCAUGGCUGUCGUCAGCUCGUGCCGUGAGGUGUUGGGUUAAGUCCCGCAACGAGCGCAACCCCUAUCCUUAGUUGCCAUCAGGUUAAGCUGGGCACUUUAAGGAGACUGCCCACGCAAGUGGAGAGGAAGGUGGGGACGACGUCAAGUCAUCAUGGCCCUUAUGUCCUGGGCUACACACGUAAUACAAUGGACGGUACAAAAAGCAAAACCGCGAGGUGGAGAUAAUCAAUAAAGCCGUCCUCAGUUCGGAUUAGAGUCUGCAACUCGACUCUAUGAAGCUGGAAUCGCUAGUAAUCGUAGAUCAGCAUGCUACGGUGAAUACGUUCCCGGGCCU
Molecule: ribosomal RNA, 1315 nt
Filed under: uncultured bacterium
Lineage: Bacteria
Description: bacterial SSU rRNA
Rfam family: Bacterial small subunit ribosomal RNA
Source: RNAcentral